Molecule: ribosomal RNA, 253 nt
Filed under: uncultured bacterium
Lineage: Bacteria
Description: partial 16S ribosomal RNA
Rfam family: Bacterial small subunit ribosomal RNA
Source: RNAcentral
UACGUAGGGUGCGAGCGUUAAUCGGAAUUACUGGGCGUAAAGCGUGCGCAGGCGGUUUUGUAAGCCGGAUGUGAAAUCCCCGGGCUUAACCUGGGAAUGGCAUUCGGGACUGCAAGGCUGGAGUGCGGCAGAGGAGACUGGAAUUCCUGGUGUAGCAGUGAAAUGCGUAGAUAUCAGGAGGAACACCGGUGGCGAAAGCGGCCUUCUGGACGAGGACUGACGCUGAGAUGCGAAAGCGUGGGGAGCAAACAGG